RNAcentral lists this microRNA precursor (103 nucleotides) under Marmota monax (woodchuck). The record is from RNAcentral. Lineage: Eukaryota; Metazoa; Chordata; Mammalia; Rodentia; Sciuridae.
AGUGGAAUUGCUGGGAUAAAGGGUAGCUUUGUUUUGAACUUUUUGAGGAACCGCCAUGCUGUUUUCCACAAUGGCGGCACCCUUUGACAUUCCCACUAACAAC